Molecule: ribosomal RNA, 274 nt
Filed under: uncultured bacterium
Lineage: Bacteria
Description: partial 16S ribosomal RNA
Rfam family: Bacterial small subunit ribosomal RNA
Source: RNAcentral
AUACGGAGGGUGCAAGCGGUACUCGGAAUCACUGGGCGUAAAGCGCGCGCAGGCGGUCUUUUAAGUUGGAUGUGAAAGCCUACGGCUCAACCGUAGAACUGCAUCCAAAACUAUUAGACUAGAGUGUGGGAGAGGAAGAUGGAAUUAGUUGUGUAGGGGUAAAAUCCGUAGAGAUAACUAGGAAUACCAAAAGCGAAGGCAAUCUUCUGGAACACUACUGACGCUGAGGCGCGAAAGCGUGGGGAGCAAACAGGAUUAGAAACCCUAGUAGUCC